Molecule: ribosomal RNA, 413 nt
Filed under: uncultured bacterium
Lineage: Bacteria
Description: bacterial SSU rRNA
Rfam family: Bacterial small subunit ribosomal RNA
Source: RNAcentral
UAAGGAAUAUUGCUCAAUGGGAGAAAUCCUGAAGCAGCAACGCCGCGUGGAGGAUGAAGGGUCUAUGACUUGUAAACUCCUGUAAAGAAGGAAAAAAUUCCCAUUUGAUGGGAGAUGAUGGUACUUCUGGAGUAAGCCCCGGCUAACUACGUGCCAGCAGCCGCGGUAAUACGUAAGGGGCAAGCGUUGUCCGGAUUUACUGGGUGUAAAGGGUGCUCAGGCGGAUUUGUAAGUCAGAGGUGAAAUCUUACAGCUUAACUGUGAAACUGCCUUUGAUACUGCAAGCCUAGAGUAUGGAAGAGAGUGAUGGAAUAUCUGGUGUAGCAGUGAAAUGCGUAGAUAUCAGAUAGAACACCAAUGGCGAAGGCAGUCACUUGGUCCAUUACUGACGCUAAAGCACGAAAGCGUGGGUA